This 75-nucleotide transfer RNA is filed under the name Tsukamurella tyrosinosolvens. Its description in RNAcentral is "tRNA_Thr_TGT". It matches the Rfam family "tRNA". Rfam says of the family: Transfer RNA (tRNA) molecules are approximately 80 nucleotides in length. Their secondary structure includes four short double-helical elements and three loops (D, anti-codon, and T loops). The record is from RNAcentral. Lineage: Bacteria; Bacillati; Actinomycetota; Actinomycetes; Mycobacteriales; Tsukamurellaceae.
GCCUCGGUAGCUCAGUGGGAGAGCUUCCGCCUUGUAAGCGGACGGUCGUCGGUUCAAUCCCGACCCGGGGCUCAA